UAUCUAUAGAACCCAUUUGAAUUCUGGCAAUUGCUACACAAUUCACUUCUCUGUGAACCCAAUUGGCAACAAGUACAAACCCCCCGAGUUACCACUUUUUCAAGAAUCUGGUAUGGAGCUUGCUGUUGUAACUUCGACUCGGCGUCGGCUAAGUUGGAAGACGAUGUCGGAGUCAACUCACUCCGAAUUGGAGCUAGCCCUAUGGUUAACUCCAAAUUAAUUUCUUUAUUUUCAUGGCUGCUUUUUCUUUCUUCUUGGUGAUGGUGGUGCUGGUGUUGUUCUUCGUC
This 287-nucleotide unclassified non-coding RNA is filed under the name Hevea brasiliensis (rubber tree). The record is from RNAcentral. Lineage: Eukaryota; Viridiplantae; Streptophyta; Magnoliopsida; Malpighiales; Euphorbiaceae.